This 775-nucleotide ribosomal RNA is filed under the name uncultured Neocallimastigales. Its description in RNAcentral is "partial large subunit ribosomal RNA". It matches the Rfam family "Eukaryotic large subunit ribosomal RNA", at positions 24 to 639 of the family's 3401-position model. The record is from RNAcentral. Lineage: Eukaryota; Fungi; Neocallimastigomycota; Neocallimastigomycetes; Neocallimastigales.
UAUCUCUGUAGAGUCUGCAUAUCAAUAAGCGGAGGAAAAGAAACUAACUAGGAUUCCCUUAGUAACGGCGAGUGAAGCGGGAAGAGCUCAAAUUUGAAAUCUUCAAGGUUUUACCUUGACGAAUUGUAGUUUAAAGAAGUGUUUUCCGUUGGUGUUUUGGUAAAAGUUCUUUGGAAUAGGACAUCAUAGGGGGUGAGAAUCCCGUAUUUGACCAUUACUUCCAGCGUUGUGAUACACUUUCAAAGAGUCGGAUUGUUUGGGAAUGCAGUCCAAAAUGGGUGGUAAAUUUCAUCUAAAGCUAAAUAUUGGCGAGAGACCGAUAGCGAACAAGUACCGUGAGGGAAAGAUGAAAAGAACUUUGAAAAGAGAGUUAAACAGUACGUGAAAUUGUCAAAAGGGAAGCGUUUGACACCAGUGUUGUUUUUCCAAAAAUCAAUUAAGAAUGGCAUGAUUUUGUGUUGUAUUGACCUUAUCAGCUUUCUGCACUCUUUUCUUGUCUUUUUUUAAUGCACUUUUCGUUUAACAAGUCAACAUCAAUUUCUUUUGUUGUAAAAGAGUCAUUGGAAGGUGGCUUUCACUUCGGUGAAAGUGUUUAUAGCCUUUGGCCUCUGCAAUCGGAGAGAUUGAGGUCUGCAGCGUAGAUCCCUCGGGGUUAGAUACAUUUGUGCUAAGUUAUAGCCUUUCAUAGACAACUUGUUGACUAUGAUCAGUCAUGUAGCUUACUCGCUUAUGCUAUUUUACCUACGCUUAGGAUGUUGAAGAUGUAGCACAUCAU